This 30-nucleotide non-coding RNA is filed under the name Mus musculus (house mouse). Lineage: Eukaryota; Metazoa; Chordata; Mammalia; Rodentia; Muridae. The record is from RNAcentral.
UUGGCUUCAGUGUUUGUGGGCCCGUGGCAU